Molecule: long non-coding RNA, 402 nt
Filed under: Olea europaea (common olive)
Lineage: Eukaryota; Viridiplantae; Streptophyta; Magnoliopsida; Lamiales; Oleaceae
Description: long non-coding RNA (OEUR_LNC009246)
Source: RNAcentral
AUGUUUAAUAACAGGUAAUCGCACCACGUGCUCAGUUCUUAGUUAACCUAUUAACACAGGAAAAAAGAAGAAGCGUAAUGUUCGGGAAUGAUGACGGGGCUCAGAUCUGUGAUUCCACAAAAGAUAUAAAAUUUGAAGCCAAAAGCAAGUACUUAAAAAUGUAGAGCCAUAAUCUCCGAUCCUUUUGGAGAUAAUAACAUAGGAGAGAAAUACCUCGACAAUCGAAUUGCAGUAUAUAAGGUUCUGAUGAUCAAAUGGAACUCUUUAUGCGAGGAAGAUGCGCCAGUGCUUGUUGAGCACGCUAUGUUGUUCACCCAUCUCCUGGAAAUAGAUCUUGGUCCAUAGCAGGAGAACCGCCGGCCCGAAAAACUAAUCCAAAGUAUCCUUGGGCUUAAAAUCAGC